RNAcentral lists this ribosomal RNA (301 nucleotides) under uncultured bacterium. RNAcentral's name for it is "partial 16S ribosomal RNA". It matches the Rfam family "Bacterial small subunit ribosomal RNA", at positions 509 to 807 of the family's 1533-position model. The record is from RNAcentral.
CAGCCGCCGCGGGAAUACGUAGGUGGCAAGCGUUGUCCGGAGUUAUUGGGCGUAAAGGGCUCGCAGGCGGUUUCCUAAGUCUGAUGUGAAAGCCCCCGGCUCAACUGGGGAGGGUCAUUGGAAACUGGGAAACUUGAGUGCAGAAGAGGAGAGUGGAAUUCCACGUGUAGCGGUGAAAUGCGUAGAGAUGUGGAGGAACACCAGUGGCGAAGGCGACUCUCUGGUCUGUAACUGACGCUGAGGAGCGAAAGCGUGGGGAGCGAACAGGAUUAGAUACCCCUGUAGUCCCUGUCUCUUAUAC